RNAcentral lists this ribosomal RNA (311 nucleotides) under uncultured bacterium. RNAcentral's name for it is "bacterial SSU rRNA". It matches the Rfam family "Bacterial small subunit ribosomal RNA", at positions 28 to 334 of the family's 1533-position model. The record is from RNAcentral.
GACGAACGCUGGCGGCGUGCCUAAUACAUGCAAGUAGAACGCUGAGGACUGGUGCUUGCACCGGUUCAAGGAGUUGCGAACGGGUGAGUAACGCGUAGGUAACCUACCUCAUAGCGGGGGAUAACUAUUGGAAACGAUAGCUAAUACCGCAUGACAAUGGAGGACCCAUGUCUUUCAUAUCAAAGAUUUAUCGCUUUAGAGAUGGACUCGCGUCCGAUUAGCUUGUUGGCGGGGUAACGGCCCACCAAGGCGACGAUCGGUAGCCGGACUGAGAGGUUGAACAGCCACAUUGGGACUGAGACACGGCCCAG